RNAcentral lists this ribosomal RNA (471 nucleotides) under uncultured bacterium. RNAcentral describes it as "bacterial SSU rRNA". It matches the Rfam family "Bacterial small subunit ribosomal RNA", at positions 331 to 794 of the family's 1533-position model. The record is from RNAcentral.
CCAGACUCCUACGGGAGGCAGCAGUGGGGAAUAUUGCACAAUGGGCGCAAGCCUGAUGCAGCCAUGCCGCGUGUAUGAAGAAGGCCUUCGGGUUGUAAAGUACUUUCAGUCGGGAGGAAGGUGGUAAGGUUAAUAACCUUAUCAAUUGACGUUACCGACAGAAGAAGCACCGGCUAACUCCGUGCCAGCAGCCGCGGUAAUACGGAGGGUGCAAGCGUUAAUCGGGAUUACUGGGCGUAAAGCGCACGCAGGCGGUCUGUCAAGUCGGAUGUGAAAUCCCCGGGCGCAACCUGGGAACUGCAUUCGAAACUGGCAGGCUGGAGUCUUGUAGAGGGGGGUAGAAUUCCAGGUGUAGCGGGGAAAUGCGUAGAGAUCUGGAGGAAUACCGGUGGCGAAGGCGGCCCCCUGGACAAAGACUGACGCUCAGGGGCGAAAGCGUGGGGAGCAAACAGGAUUAGAUACCCUAGUAUC